Long non-coding RNA from Phacochoerus africanus (Common warthog), 666 nucleotides. RefSeq lists it as uncharacterized. Lineage: Eukaryota; Metazoa; Chordata; Mammalia; Artiodactyla; Suidae. The record is from RefSeq and is a predicted model, not a curated record. The transcript is spliced from 3 exons.
GAUUCCACAAAGGCAAAGGGGAAGCUUACAUGAAGCAGACCUGAGUUCCUGCUAUUACUUAUGUGCAACAUCAGAAAGAGAAUUCCAUGGUUUGAGGCUCACCAUAUGAAGGAAUGUUUUCCUGGAAAGCUCUUCUUCUCCAGUCUGGCAUUCAUCCUUCUGAAACAUUUACCCUUCUGUCAGCUGGUCCUCUGGCCUAUUAAAACCAGAUCCCAGGUAAGGUCCCGAUGUCUACCUUGCAAAGGUAUUGGAUGGGGUAUCCUUUUGACUGGGAAAUGAAACGUUGAUGUCCUGUGAAGGAAAAUUUAAUCCCCAGUAUGGUGGACAAGGAAAGCAUUGUUUUUGUUUGUUUCCUUUCUUUUUGUGUUUAAACUAGUAGGGUGUGGAGGACAGGGGAGAAGUGCCCUAUCCACAGUGCCUGAGGACAGCUUAGCAACCCAGGAGUGUGUAGAAAGAAACUGGCUUAGCUCGUAUAGGAAGUUCUGUAGGAAACAUUCAUGGGCUCUGAGAAGUUGCAUUUCUAUCAAUGGGAGAUUUUCGUUUUUUUUAACUUUUUUGAAGUGUGGAGAUUUAAUUUUCUCAAGAGUAAAAGUUUAACGAGUACUGUUUUCUUUUAGUUGAAGUUGAUGUCUCAUCCAGCCUUAAUGUUGCUAGUAGCAGGGCUAU